Ylistrum balloti is the source of this 2677-nucleotide long non-coding RNA. RefSeq lists it as uncharacterized. The transcript has 3 exons. Lineage: Eukaryota; Metazoa; Mollusca; Bivalvia; Pectinida; Pectinidae. The record is from RefSeq and is a predicted model, not a curated record.
GUAGAUUAGAACCUUCAUACUUUGAUGUUACGGAGUACAAAGUUCUGCCCUCUCUCCAUCUGUAGAUAGAUCUGCUAUACACAGUUUGAACUUUCUGGACUCUAAACAGAAUUUGAUUUAACUGUAUCAGAAAAAACUAAUCAUAAAUACAACUUUAAUUCACAGACAGAGAAAUACCCAAACUCCUACAUUAGAGGUGACGAAAAUAUGCAAUAAUAAAAACAGAGACAUAACAGCUGGUAUAAUAGGGCAAUCUAGAUCUCCAUAUUAUAACAAAAAGUAUGUAGAUCCUGACCAGAGACAUAACAGCUGGUAUAAGAGGGCAAUCUAGAUCUCCAUAUUAUAACAAAAAGUAUGUAGAUCCUUACCAGAGACAUAACAGCUGGUAUAAGAGGGCAAUCAAGAUCUCCAUAUUAUAACAAAAAGUAUGUAGAUCCUUACCAGAGACAUAACAGCUGGUAUAAUAGUAACAUAUUAAAACAUACAGGCACUAGAUGAGAGGUAAUUCAAAAACGGUUUUUAGGUCACCUGAUCCCCUUUUGUCUGGCGUCAUUGUAAACUUUUAACAUUUUAACAUAAUUAUAAAUUACAUGACCUUAAGGUCUCACAUUUCCCCUUAUUAAUUGUUUGUUUUCCUUCAGAAAUAGUUCAAACUUGCUUAGAAUUAUCAGCUGAAGAUGACAUUAUGAUAAGGUGCACAUAUUGAUCUCGACUGAACCCUAGGGGUUGAUGAGCUGGUCAAAAAUGGGUCAAAUUGACCGAAAUUUCAACAAUCUUCUCAAAAGCUAAAUAAAGUAGAACCAAAUACUCUUUCUAGAUGGAAGUGUCUUACGAUACUUUACCAAAAUUGUGAAUUUCAUGACCCCAGGGUUUCAUGUUUCCCAUUGAGGAGUGAGUAAAAUCUACCAUAGUUUGUGUUUCAAGCAUAAUUUGUUUAUUUUCUUCUAUAAAUAGUUCAAACUUGGUAAGAAUUAUAAGAAUCAGCUAACACUUUGAUGAGAUGCACAUAUUGAUCCCUAGGAGUUGAUGGGCAGGGCCAAAAUUGGGUCAAGUUGACUGAAACUUCAAAGGGGUUUUACUUUUUAUGGAUGAGUCUAUAUAGGAAAAUUCAGUUUUUGAGUGUAAUUUCUUUUAAUUCAAACUUGGUAAGAAGCAUGGGAUAGAAGUAGAUAUUAAACAUAGUUUACAUGUUGGAUUAUGUGUACAAUGAAGUUAAAGCUAUUUUACUUUUUUAACAAAAUUAUUUCUAAGAAAUUUUAAAAGAAGCAUUGUAACUCAGGUGACCCUUAAGGCCCUUGGACUAAGGGAUGCUUGAAGAACUGUGGAGUGGGUGAGGGGCAUUGUCGGGACGAAAUUGUAAUAUUAAGGCCAUAAAAUGGAUAGACUGACAAUUAGACUAGGCAAUGUUCUAUAUACAAGUGAUACGAAUGCCUUAUCGUGACCUAGGUACUGUUCUAUCUACAAGUGACAACUGAACCUGACUAAACACUUGGUACUGUGUUAUCUACAAGUGACAACUAGACCUGACUAAACACUAGGUACUGUUCUAUCUACAAGUGACAACUGGACCUGACUAAACACUAGGUACUGUGCUAUCUACAAGUGACAACUAGACCAGGCUAAACACUAGGUACUGUUCUAUCUACAAGGGACAACUGGACCUGACUAAACACAAGGUACUGUUCUAUCUACAAGUGACAACUGGACCUGACUAAACACAAGGUACUGUGUUGUCUACAAGUGACAACUGGACCUGACUAAAUGCUAGGUACUGUGCUAUCUACAAGUGACAACUGGAUCUGACUAAACACUAGGUACUGUGCUAUCUACAAGUGACAAAUGGACCUGACUAAACACUAGGUACUGUUCUAUCUACAAGGGACAACUGGACCUGACUAAACACAAGGUACUGUGUUGUCUACAAGUGACAACUGGACCUGACUAAAUGCUAGGUACUGUUCUAUCUACAAGGGACAACUGGACCUGACUAAACACAAGGUACUGUGUUGUCUACAAGUGACAACUAGACCUGACUAAACACUAGGUACUGUGUUAUCUACAAGUGACAACUGGACCUGACUAAACACUAGGUACUGUGCUAUCUACAAGUGACAACUAGACCAGGCUAAACACUAGGUACUGUUCUAUCUACAAGGGACAACUGGACCUGACUAAACACAAGGUACUGUUCUAUCUACAAGUGACAACUGGACCUGACUAAACACUAGGUACUGUGUUAUCUACAAGUGACAACUAGACCUGACUAAACACUAGGUACUGUGUUAUCUACAAGUGACAACUGGACCUGACUAAACACUAGGUACUGUGUUAUCUACAAGUGACAACUAGACCUGACUAAACACUAGGUACUGUUCUAUCUACAAGUGACAACUGGACCUGACUAAACACUAGGUACUGUGCUAUCUACAAGUGACAAAUGGACCUGACUAAACAGUAGGUACUGUGUUAUCUACAAGUGACAACUGGACCUGACUAAACACUAGGUACUGUGUUAUCUACAAGUGACAACUAGACCUGACUAAACACUAGGUACUGUGUUAUCUACAAGUGACAACUGGACCUGACUAAACACUAGGUACUGUGUUAUCUACAAGUGACAACUGGACCUGACUAAACACUAGGUACUGUGUUAUCUACAAGUGACAACUGGACCUGA